AAUUUAAAGUCUAAUCUGCCCACUGAUGAGUAUUAAAGGGCUGCAGUAUAUUGACUGUACAAAGGUAGCAUAAUCAUUAGUCUUUUAAUUGAAGACUUGUAUGAACGAUUUGAUGAAAUAUAAACUGUCUCUAAUUUAUUAGUAAAAAUUAAUAUUUUAGUUAAAAAGCUAAAAUAAAAUUAAAAGACGAGAAGACCCUAUAGAGUUUUAUAUUUGUUUAUAUUAUGAUAAAAUAGAUAGUUAAUUAUAAAAAUAUAAUUAAAUAUCGUAUUGGGGUGAUAAAAAAAUUAAAUAAACUUUUUUUUUUAUUAACAUAGAUAAAUGAUUAAAUGAUCCAUUAUUUAUGAUUAAAAGAAAAAAUUACCUUAGGGAUAACAGCGUAAUAUUUUUUUUUAGUACGAAUAAAAAAAAAGUUUGCGACCUCGAUGUUGGAUUAAGAUAAAAAUUAAAUGCAAAAGUUUAAAAUUUUGAUCUGUUCGAUCAUUAAAAUCUUACAUG
RNAcentral lists this ribosomal RNA (498 nucleotides) under Sephisa princeps. RNAcentral describes it as "partial 16S ribosomal RNA". Lineage: Eukaryota; Metazoa; Arthropoda; Insecta; Lepidoptera; Nymphalidae. The record is from RNAcentral.